RNAcentral lists this long non-coding RNA (4976 nucleotides) under Nicotiana benthamiana. RNAcentral's name for it is "long non-coding RNA (NBEN_LNC022376)". The record is from RNAcentral. Lineage: Eukaryota; Viridiplantae; Streptophyta; Magnoliopsida; Solanales; Solanaceae.
CCUGCAUGCACGAGAGGAAAUUAGCACAUCAAUGGAGCAUUAGUAUUAGCAGGAAAUUUGAUCGUCCUGCUUGAUCUGAUUCCUCCAACGUGACUGCGUUGCUUCCUGUUUUUUUUUUUCUUACAACAUCUGUGACCACCUGGAAUAUCAGGGGUGAUGUUCAUUGUCAUGUUAUUCUGACAUGUUACAGAAGGAACCACAAGCCAUAUGUCUUACAAAUGGAUUCCGUUCAUCAUAUUUUUCAAAUUUAGAAUGUUGUGGGAGAAGCCAAUUUUUGUUCAUCAUAUUUUGUUUGCACAUCAAUUGGUCAUUGUCACCAUUUAUGAUUGAUAUUGUUGGGCAAGAGGGGCUUGGUCUGAUGGUAACCAACCCUCACUUACAACUGAGAGGUUGUGAGUUCGAGUCUCCCCAGGAGCAAAUUUUGGGGAUUUAUGCCGGUGAGGCUGCGUACACACUACCCUCCCCAGACAUCACUGAGUUGUACUUUACUUUUUUUUGUUUAUAGUUUUAUACCCUUAGCAUCCGAAUACGUACAAGCUAAUGAAAAAUCAUGUACAAAUUCUAAAAUUANNNNNNNNNNNNNNNNNNNNNNNNNNNNNNNNNNNNNNNNNNNNNNNNNNNNNNNNNNNNNNNNNNNNNNNNNNNNNNNNNNNNNNNNNNNNNNNNNNNNNNNNNNNNNNNNNNNNNNNNNNNNNNNNNNNNNNNNNNNNNNNNNNNNNNNNNNNNNNNNNNNNNNNNNNNNNNUGGAAACAGCCUCUCUACCCCAGGGUAGGGGUAAGGCUGCGUACACACUACCCUCCCCAGACACCACUGAGUGGUAUUGUACUGGGUCGUACUUUUUUAUUGUUGGGCACUGAAUUCCGUCUCAUCUCCCUUCCGUAUAAUUUCCCCCUUCUUGCAUACCUCCUUUUCUUCUGUCACGUCUCUUCCCUUUGAAAAAACUGUGAAGCGACACCUGUGUUAACUCAAAGGGCAUACUGUAAGAGAUUCACUGUACCCGUGCAUGCAAGCAGGUAUGGAGAGGAAAGAAACGAAUUCUGGCUGUAGGUAGGAAAAACCCCAGGGGGUGGGGGUGGAGCAUCAGUGCGUCAUCGAAGUGAAUAAUCUUUUGCAACGCCUGUCUAUCAUUUCAAGCAUCUGUAUAUUGAGGCCACAAGCGUAGUCGCACAUUGAGUAUUAAUACCGUAUCAGACUUUAGUACAUAGCAGCCGAGGCAUAAAAAGUUCGACAAUUAUGUCGGUCACAAAAAGAAUUUGCGUUAGUCUAAUUAAACUCUUCUGGUUUGCAUCAACUUGCACUCAUUUAACCAUUUGUAAGUAGAGGUUCAUUCUCAAUACAGCUUUCUCGUUUACACUCCCCUCAUUGGUGGUCCAGUGAACCCCCUAUACUUUGCGCCAUCAUUACAUCGAAGCAACUAGUAGUAUUUCACGCUGAAAACGAGAUAUCAUCAUAGAAUUGAAAAUCUAAUAGAAGCGUUUGAGUUGAACCUUAACAUUCAACUUUCAUGUCAUUCAACAAAAGAGCAAUCAUGAACCAUACAGAUGCAUUACCCCAUAAAAUAAUUCUGCAAACCCUUGCGCGAAAGCACAUACACAGAGCUAUCACAACACACAACUCACAUGAAGUAAACUUAGAAUAGCUACAAAAGACUAGAGAAUGCCAUCCACCUAAUUAAUAACAUACCUAUGAGCACCAUGCACCUAAAAAGGAAUCAACUUUUUACCUCGAGCAUCUGCUGGGCAAGCAUUUAAUAUGUGAAUCUGUUUAAGUUAUACUGAUCACAUAGCGUCUGUCAAACCGAGUAAAAUGUAACCCUGUACUGAGCAAUAUACCAGUAAUUAAACAUUUCAUAAUCGAAUGUAAAAGACUAAUGCUAACUAAUUCCACCUCAAUACCUAACGCAUCCAAUCCUCCACUACUACUAAUCAUGAUACAACUCCUAACUAACAACAAAACUUUCCCACCGAAAUGACUUUGGAUCCCAUGAUUGUGUCAGCAUGACUGGUCUAGCUCAGAUAUCCAUCAAUAACCAUAGCUGGAUCCAUAAAUGGGACCAUAAUCCCCAGCAGGUGUAUGGCCAGUGCUACUAGAUGAAGUGUAUACAGGACCUUGAGAAUAUGGAUUAUAACCUUGGGAAGGUGGUCCAGCGGCAGUGUUCUGCAUUGAGCUGGCAGCAUCAGCAAUAGAAUUCUGCACCAUAAGCAGGGUGGUAAAAACUCACAUUUCAACAAUUAAGUUGUUUCCACGUUUUUAUAUAGUGCAUACCCCCCACCCCCUAAAACAAAAAAAAGGGGCACCAUCUGUGAUAUUCCAAACAAGAUCAUACUGUCCCCAUCCACAGACAGAAUAUUACCCACAGCAAAGGUGAAUUGAAGUGCAAUAAUCAACUUAUCAGCAGAUACUACCUGAACUAAUUGCUGCGCUGUUUGCACCUGUGAUGCAGAUCCCGAUAUCUCAACAGUCAUCUCAUCCGGAACACCCCUUGUUUCCUGGAUUGCAAUAGAUGCACCACUGGUCCGACGAAUAUAGCUAAUGUUUGAACCAGAGGUCCCAAUGACAGCAUCAGCAUAGGACAAAGGAAUUUGCAUGUUAUGUGUGACCUUUAAAAAAAAGGGAUUAAGGGAAAAGAGCAUCAGAAAUCAUAAUGUUGCAGUUCUAUAUAAAAAGAAUUAAAGGCCAAAAAAGAAAGCAAAACUUGCAACAACUUGAUAGUUCUAUUUGGUAGUAUCCUUAAAACGAUACCAGAUUCUUAUAUGCCCACCUCUUUCUAUAUGCCCACCUCUUUCUGUACCUUGUUGGGUGAUUUUAUUUAGUCAAGAUCAGAAUUCCCCUACCCGAUUGAAUGCAUACAAAUAACACACCUUUGUAACCAUGGAUUGUUGUGUUUGCACGUUUGUACCAUGAGUUCCCAUUGAAACAUCUCUACCAUAAAGAUGGGGGGCCUGACGAGGCUGCUUUUCGAAAGGAGGCAUGUCUAAAUGUGGGUAAUAACUAUCAAAUUGCCGCGGAGGCGGCAUAUACUGAGGGUUGGGCCCAAAACCAGGUCCACCCCCAGCAUUCGCAGGAAAACCGGAUGGUGGAGGGGCCCAUGACUGAGAAGGUCCAGAUGGAGGCAUGUUUUGGUUUGGACGAGCAUUUUGCAUUUGCAUCUGAACAGGAAAAAAGAAUCAUAAUUUCAAAGAGUAUUAUUGGAAAGGUCAAAAUCCACUGAAACCAGCGGUAGACUUACCUGCAUCUCAAAUACCCCAAUGACACUACGAUCAACUAAAAAUUUCCUGAGAUGUGAAGCAAUCAUUUCAACUGCUUUAUGCACCCCGGCGGGCUCUCCUUGUAUCUCAACAACACUAUCAUCAGGAAGGGCAAAAACUGGAAGGUGCUCUGCAGAAUCCAGUUGAUGGGAAUUAAACUUUAAAAUUACAUACCCAGAAGGAAAAAGGGAUUUUAGAUGAGAAGUUAGAAUAACAGACACAACUGUGUACCAUUUGACUUCAGAACAAACAACAUAACAUGUCAGCUUUUGAGCUAUACCAAGUUCACGACGUAGUCCCCUUCUUUUAAUUCAAGUAAACAAUAGACAAAGGAAAACUAACCAGAAGGAUCCAGAAACUUAUGUGUUAUUCUUCCAAUUGUUCUUUCAUUGCUUUUUCUAUCUAUUCUUCUAUCUUGACUCCCCCAAUCCAGGUUUCCAAAAUUUCAACAUCUGGAAUUAUCCUUAUCUUGGUUUUUGUUUAUUUCAAGAACUCAGAAAUGAUAUGCACAAAAUUCUCUAGUGCUCACUAGUCAAAUAAAAUUACUAAAUGGAGUAUUUCUAAAAGUAAAACAAUUACCAAUAACAAUUAAUAACUUGUACCAGUGUUAUUUAGCUUCACGUCCUCUUAGGACUCCAUGUGCCCACCCCUAAAGCCAGCUUGAGAUCGCAGAGGUCCAAAUAAAGACAGGAAAAGGUGGAAUCUAGGUUUCGCUCUAAACCUAUUUGGUUAUUUCCAAUACAUAAAUCAAUAGUCCAAACCACACUCAAAAGCUAAUGCAGUUCCCAUUUUAAGGAACUUCUAGUCUCUAUAAAGUCCAUUAAAUAUUAAAAGAUCUCCAUGGAGUCCUUUCAAGGAGGUUAAAAAUGGUAGGGGUUGAGAAGAUUUCUAAGAAGCCUUCGAGGGAUCCAUAAACAAAUUGGAUCCUAGAAGCAAAGUUUAUAGUUAAAAUAUGUUCAUAUAAAUCAAACAUGAAUACGACUAUUUAGCAAGUCCACCAGGGGUAUCAAAGACCCUACAGCGUAUUCACGAAAAUCCUACACCAUAUUAAGCAGACAUCUCUGUUUUCUCUUUUUGCUAUAGCUAACCCCACACACCCCAAACCACUCAACGGAGCCAAGUGUGGCUUUUCAUACUUCGCUCCCUUAGUGACUAGAACUACCAACCUCCUAAUUGGAGGCGGAGGGACCUUUCCACUAACCCAUCCCUCCCAUCUGUUAUUUUAAGAUUAACAUAUGUUUAUUCCUUGUAGAAAAACUUUAGAGAAGGAUAAGUACAGACCCAAAUUUCUCUUGAAAUACCUACUGAUUAAACAGCAUUAGAAGGCAUUAGGGAAUUUCACAUAAUUGAGUGACUGGACUCUGAUACAACGACUCUUCUGCUCUCUCUCUCCAGAAAAGUUUUUCUCCAACGUUCACGAGAGGAAAUUAGCACAUCAAUGGAGCAUUAGUAUUAGCAGGAAAUUUGAUCGUCCUGCUUGAUCUGAUUCCUCCAACGUGACUGCGUUGCUUCCUGUUUUUUUUUUUCUUACAACAUCUGUGACCACCUGGAAUAUCAGGGGUGAUGUUCAUUGUCAUGUUAUUCUGACAUGUUACAGAAGGAACCACAAGCCAUAUGUCUUACAAAUGGAUUCCGUUCAUCAUAUUUUUCAAAUUUAGAAUGUUGUGGGAGAAGCCAAUUUUUGUUCAUCAUAUUUUGUUUGCACAUCAAUUGGUCAUUGUCACCAUU